Molecule: long non-coding RNA, 10938 nt
Organism: Gallus gallus (chicken)
Lineage: Eukaryota; Metazoa; Chordata; Aves; Galliformes; Phasianidae
Exons: 5
Source: RefSeq, a predicted model, not a curated record
CUUUACCUUCCCUCCUCCUCCCUGGCAGGGCAGCACUGUGGUUAGCAGACCCCCCUCAUGCCUUGCUGCUCCCUGGUGCUCUUGCCCUGCAGCACUGUGACAACUGCAUCCCCUCGCUGCCCUGCAUGGGAGCUUAUUGCAAACUGCUGGCAUCACAGACCCCAAGGAAAACCCAGCAGCUCUGGCACUUAACCGUUAGGCAUUUCCUUGCUGCACACUGUUGUCUGGUACCCUACUGCCCACCGGUGUUGGUGGCUGAGCACCCAUCCCCAGCGCGGAAAAGUUUAAUAGAAAUAAUUCCGGUGGUGGCUUCUCAUGAUACUGGGAGGACACUGUUGGAACGUUGAAUUCAGAAGGCAAAACAUCAAAUCAAACCUUCCACGAGCACAGAGCAGAGGGGAAUGGUGCACGGAGGUAAAUGCUUGGCACAGCUCAGCUCGCAGUUAAUGAGCUCAGCCGUGUUUGUAAUUUCAGUUCAGUGGAUCUCUGAAUUUCACUUUCCAGGUCAUUGCAUCUAGUCCAGAGAAUCAAUAUGAAUUAUCAGUAAUUUGUCAGAGGCUGAUAAAUGGCAUUAUGAUGUGGAACUGCCGCUAAGCCUUGCAUUGUCCUUGCUUGUUGGGUCAGCGGUGUUUUUUUAAUCUUUUGAUGUCACAGUGAUAUGCUGUUCUACAGUAACUGAUCUGCUGGCUUCUUAGGAGGCUGAGUAAACACUGGCAUGGCUGCACAAUAUGUUUGUUGUAGGGAGAUGUCAGAGCAGGGGUAGCAUUCCUUAUGUUGUGAAACAAUGGCCGCACACAAGCCAGGAGCACUUGUCCUCCCUCGUGGCCAUUUCCGCUCUGUUCACAGACUUCCCAAAGGACAGACCCUGUACCCACACACCCUGAGGAUGUGUGCCUGCAGAUGCUGCUGGACUCAUGAGUGCAAACACUAUGAUCAGAGAGUGCAACAAAGAACAAGGGCGAACAAUACGCUGUAAGUCAGAAGUUAAGUGAGCGCUGCACGGCAGUCUCCAGCAUGAGAUCCCAGUUCGGUGCUUUGGAGUCUGUUGGAUACUUCAGCUUGGGCCUCCAGACUCAGAAGUCACACACAGAGUAGAAUGAGGUACAAGUUAAUUAACACCUGUUAACGUGGCUCAUUCAGCUCUAGCACACCGUUAGCAGCACUGUAGAGUCUCAGAUCAACUUGAGAAGAACUGAGGAUGUACAGCCAGUCCUAUCUUAUUUUGCUUAAAUAAUAAAGAUACACAUUCACAAAGCAAGCAGACAAAAGCAAUUUAAUAGCCCUGUCCUAGGCCAGUCUACAAGAGCAAAAUGAUGAUAUGAUGUAAACUAUAACAAGUUCCAGAAACUUUUCCACCUGGAGAUUUAUGACUCAAUUAUCAAUUUCCCAUCUUGAUUGGAACAGCUUGCAAGACUAUAAUUAAUAUUUUCUAGCUGCUUAGGUCAGACAGAGGUGCAGAAGGUUCAACAUUUCUGUACUGAAGUCACUGAGGUGCUGUGCAGAGCAGCUGGGAGCAGCCCCAGCCUGCAGCACCCCCGCCAGCACUGCACCAUGCUGGCUGCAGAGCCGCUCCUGCUGCAGGGAAAGCUUUGCUCUCUUUGCACUGAGACCCGAGCCCAACUUCUUCCCCUGCUGAAGCGAAGGUAAAAGCAAAUCCCACCAGUGAGGUCCUGCAGCUGAGGCUGCCCUGCAGAGCCACACAGUUGCUGUCCCUGCACUGGGCACCUGAUGUGCAGCACAGAGGCUGUGUCUGUCCCCUGCCAGCAGUGCCCACGUUAUGCUUCAGGAUGCCACUGUGUGAGUUCUGGGUCUGCAUUUAUACAACAACCUCCUGGAUUCUGAACUAUAAAUGCAAUUUUUCAAAUUAAAGGAAGACUGUAAACUUCAACACCUGUUAAAUAUGAUCUGGCUGUGUAUCAUAAGGCAGUGAGAGCCUUUCCCCUCAGGGCCCCUGACGUGACAGGGAUGUAGUGCUGUCCCAGCAUCCCAUGGGGAGGACCCACAGAGCUGCUUUGGCACCACAGCACUUGAUGCCCCCAGCCUGCUCCCCACUAGUUUUUUAGCAGCAUUACCUGGGGCUGCAGGAUCAGGAUAAAGAUGCCCAUAGGCCUGCAGUCACCUGGGAAGCUGUCUCACUGCAUCCCUGCUGAGGGAUGAGAAACUUCUUCUCCCUCUUGUUAUGCUGAGACAAAUGGCACCUUGGCAGGCAAGCCUGUGGCUGUCAGAUGAGAAGAGAAGCAAGGCUAUUUUAAAAGCCAGUAAUUACAUCUGAUAAAAGGGAGCUGCACAAGGGAAAUAGGCUCCUACUUUGCGGUGGGCUUCAGCUUCUCCUCCUUCAGGACUGACAGAGGGGAGAGAGGAUACAGAGGAAAAAUCACUGAUCCCCAUGUGUGCUCAUCAGACCUGAUAUCCUGUGCUAGAGAAUUUCACCUUCUGCCUAAAUUCUGUGGUGCAGAAUCAGGCUGUGCUGCAGAGGAUGCUGGGCCAUGGCUGGGCUGGGGAGGGUGUGGGGCUGUGAGCACCAAGGGACUCUGCCCAGAAUGGGACUGUGCCCACCAUGGGGCUGAGCCCACCACAAGGCUGGAGACCUUCCACGCCUCAUGCUCUGCAGGACCCACAGAAGGUCCUGCUAUCUCAUCCAAAGCCACGGGGCUGAGUGCUCAGAAAGGAGAAUCAGGCAUGCUCCAAACCAGGCAGGUUCUGCCCUGCACUCUGUCUCCAGCUCAGAAGCUGACAUGUGGACAGGUUCAUUCUGAGGUCACUAAAACAUCCCUGAAAGUCGUGUUUAGAAAGCUACCUCAGACAACACCUUACCUUUACUGCUUUUCUUGCUGUAGGCAAGGAAAAAUUCCCGCAGAGUUCUGGCCAACACUUCCUGGAAAUUGCAAGAAACAACAAUGAUAUUUUUAUUGUACGUAUUCAGUUUGCUCAUUUCCAAGGGAGAUGCUAUGCCUGAGUCUUUUGCCUGGAGACUCUCUUCCAGUACACUGAGGGUGUCUGUUCCCAUUAGAAAUGCUGCAACAAAUAGGAAUCACAUGCAGCACUUCAUCAGAAUCUUCAGGCUCACAGAGAAAACCCCCUUUGUUUAUUCUGCUGUGCUCUUUAUUUAUUUUGGUGCGAUGUGGUGUAUGAAGAGGAAAGCGAUCCUAAAGGAAUUACAACUCGUGGAGAUGAGAUAAAUAAGACAACUAUAAAAGCUGUACUAAAAAGCAGUUUUGCAUGCGAGUUCUAACAAAUUGUGUAGUGGUUUGUAAUUCCAAUAUGUGAAAGAGAAGCUAUUUCUGAAACUAAGAUUUUGGUAAUAAGUAUGCACUUGAAUUUUAGUUAAGAUAAUAAUAUGCCCUCAGGGUACAUCUUCUUGAAACCACUUUGCAUGCGUGCCAUAUUCCUUUAGAAAUAAAAGGAGCUGCUAUUAUUUGACAGUAACUGCAUAUGCAGAGAUAAUUAAGAAGAGGAUGCACCCCGUGUGUGAUGUCCUGCAGGGAUGUGCAGUGUGGUGUACUGAGCACAGCGGUGCUGUGGGUGAGUGGGACAAUGGCCCCCGAGCUGUGGGGCUGAGCAGAGGGCCACAGGCACAGAGGGGAGGGAUGGAUCCUUGGGGAAACUAGGCAGGCCAUUGGUUUGGCAGCUGUGCUGUGAAGGUUUUGCCCAAAUAAAAGAUUGUUGUGCUCUGCUUAGCAAAUGUUUUUGUUAUUCCAGUAACUGUUUUGGGGGAAAUUGAGAAAAAAUGCAACUUAGAAGAGUUAAACGGCAACUGGAGAGACUGUGGUUAUUAGCUCAGAAAGGGAAGAGUCUCAGGUGACCUUUCUUGUGCGAAAAACUAUCGACUGCAUAUUAUACAUAUUGGAAUAACACGCAUAUUUGGGUUUAAUAGGAGGACUGAUGCCAGGACAUUGGCCACCAAGCAGUGGGUGGGAGCCGGGGGAGGCCAGAGCAUCCCUGAGCUGCUGCCUGAUGUGGAGCAUCCCUGGUCCCUCUGAGCUGCCCACCCACAGCACAGUGUCCCUCAGCCCCACUGCUGGCCUUGGCCGGUCUGCCACUGCCCAACUGCCCCCCAUCCCUUCGAUGGCUGCCAGCUGCCCUUGGGUCCCUUCUGCUGGCAGUUCACUCCAAAGCAGCCUCACACAGCAUCACUUCUUUUACACAGCCGUACCUCAGGGACGCGCUGUGUCUGACCUCGGGGCUUUUCAGACCUUUUGGUUCAGGUUCUCCUGGCAUCUGUCGGUAGAUUAACAGAGCAUAAAGUGGACCAAGGGGAGCCGGGGCUGCCAGGAGUGACCUCUAUCCCAGCCAGAUCAGUACUGCUGCUUGGAGGAAGCCUGGGCACAGCAGUGCUGGAGUCCACGCUGGGUCCCAGUCUGUGGCUCCCUGAGCACACAGUGCUGGCACCGCCAGGCACAGGACGGCAGCCCUGCAGAAAUGCUGUCAGCCUCCGGCUCAUCUCUGUGGCCUUUCUCCUCAAGUUCUUUGUGGCUGGACAUGAGAGCAUCUGCUGCAGCGGGGAGAAAUCAAUAUCAUUACUAUGCCAUCGGGCUACAUCUAACUACAAUAUCCUGGACAAGCAGGAGGCACAUCAUUCACAGAUAAUGCUGCAUUGCAGGUGAAAGGAAAAUGUCGUGGCUGGAGGGGAGUGUGUGGGGAGAACGGUAAUAAAAAGAAACAAUCCAGAUCACCUUUUCCCAUGAAAGCAAUUACAGAAGGCAUUGGGCUUUGACAUGGCUCUGUAAUUAACAGGAAGGCAAAUGGUUAAAGAUUAGUGGCUAUUAACGAGAUGCUCUGUAAGCAGCUUACUGGCCCCCUGCUCUGGGAGGUCUGUGGGCAAGCUAAGCAGCUUGUGCUUUUGCAUAGGUGACCUCUCCUUCUCAUUCUGAAUUUAAUUAUGCAUGGACCAGUGCCUGGGUGGACGCGGGCUGGUGCCCAGGGAGCUGCACCUGGGAGGGGGAGCGGCAGUGCGAGGAGCUGAGGUCAUGGUCACACCUGUCCUGCGGGGUGGUGGGAAAGGCAGGUGCAGGUUUGUCUCCCAGUUAACUUAUUUUGGGGUACUGAGACCAAAGGAAAUCUUUCCUCUACUUCCUCUACUUUUAUCCAAGUAGAAUGGUGACAUUCCCCUCUGCCAAAACCCAGAAUGGAAAUCCUGCAAGCAAAUAAAGUGCAGCUGAGAGGUAUCCACAAGCUGCAGGUUGCUUCGGUUUGGGGUUUGUGUCAGCUCAGCCUACCCAAGGGCACACGACGAGCCAGCAGCAGGGCUGUGCCUGGGGCUGUCCCCAGGGCUGUGUGCAGCUCUCCUGCAGGCAUGGACUGUGGCAUCUCACGGGGCAGUGCUUUGCUUCUCCUUGGCCAAGCACAAGGCUCCUGCCAGGUGGGAAUAAUUAUGAUGACCUGCCUCAGGCUUGGAGAAUAUUUGCCCAUUCAACAGUUUACACUGAAUAUAAAUAGCAGAUUCCUCCCUGUGCAUGCACAGUCAAGGCAAAGUAGCUUUCUGUGCCCCUGAUGAACACGCAAGUACUCAUUAACCCCUUGCAUGCUGCAGGGGUUACGUCCUGGCUAGACUGUGGGCAGAGAGUGGCUUUUGCUGCCACCAGCCAUCCCCUACAUGCAGGACAUGGCACCAAAAUCCAGUCAGUGACAAUGUGGAGUCCUCUGAGAAUGUCCCCACUUCCCAAUCUGCACCUCUGCAGUGUGUCCACCUCCCCAGUACAUGGGAUAGGAAAUGUCUGCGAGAAAACCUAACUUGAAGCACAUCAGAAGUACAGGAAGGCUGUGACCACCUGUCAAAGAACUUUGCCACAAUUUCUGCCAUGGAGAAAAUAGACACCAGUGCUUCUGUGCACAUCUGGGACUUUUCAUGGGUAGAGAAGUGCUCCUGUGUGCAGAGUGUGAGUUCCAGAAGCAGCAGGAGCAUCUCUGCUCAGCAUCCAUUGCGCACAGCCCUCUGAGCACUUGAUGCCUCUCUGGGCAUUUUUCUGAAUCUGUAUUACACUUUGAUUCUGAUUAUCAAAGAGAAAAAUCCAUGGUAAGCUUAAAUAAACAAAUUGUCUGCUCCUACUUCAUGUAUUCAUUGCUAUGCACACUGAGAGCACUUCAGGGAUGGGAGACUUUUCUCACAGCUUGUUUGUGCAAAACUGCUAUCUGGAAUACCUAACUGCAUGGAUAAGUGUCAAAUAUUAAAAACAUACAUGUUUGUGUUAAAAUAUGAACUAAAUGCAAACAUAUUUAGCAAUAAAAUUAUAAGUGGCCACUGAAGACUGUGAGGGAUGUUGUGAUGUUCCAUCCAGAUUUCCAGCACUGAACUUCUGCUCCCAGUAGCAGAAGCCCACCUGCCUUCCAGGCCAACAGGGGGGGAACUCCUUGGCCAUCAGGUUGCCAUCUCUUUGAGGGGUGUGUGCAGAAGGAAAAACAGUGGGCAGGAGUGGGGACAGGAGAGCAGACUGUGUGCUCCAAGCUGAGAUGCCAGACUGAGGGCACUGGGACUGUGUUUGAGGUGCCUGCUACAGGCAAGGCGAGCCACAUCUCUAGUGCCACGAGACUGAGUGUGGUACUGGCAGGGCUCUGACUGCAAUAUACACCAUGCCAGGAAAUGGCCUUACAGACAUUACCAGUAAUUAGUAAGGUUAUUUCUAUGCCCGUGCCCCAGUUUGUGGUGGUGGUAGAAGCAGUGGUCACCUGGGGAGGAAGACGGGCAGGACAGCUCUGUGCACCAACCAGGACCUGCAGGCACUUGAGGGGCUGAGGGGGUGGGGAGGGGGGGGUGGCUCAGCCCAACCCCUGCAUCCCUCUGGGCUCUCAGAGAUGAGCAUGACCAAAAAGAGUGAUCUGCAGUCCCAAGUCAACUCCUGAGCCUCCAGGCAGUGCUUCUUUGUCAUCUGUACUGCAGAUGGGGGAUGCUGUUGCUGUGAGUGUUUGCAAACUGUCAUUUAAUUUAGCCUCCUGCCUUCCCAGAGGUGAUAGUUUCAUUGGAGGUGUGAGGAUUUAUGCUCUUCCUGCUUUUAACUCACAUUACUCAUCCUCACUCCUAAUUCCAGACCCUGUGUCCUGAGCAGAGAAAUGGAAAACCAACUCAGCUGCAACGUCCCCGCCAUCCCACUUUUGCCUUUUGAGUUUCAAAACCAAAAACAAUGAUUUUAAGUUAAGGUGGAUCUCAAGUCAGGCCCCAUCCUGCCUCUGUGGUGUGUUGGAGAAGACAUGCACAUAACCUUGUAUUGCAGGAGCUACCUAUGGAUUUUCAUAGCAACACACUGCACUGUCUGGAGUGAGUCCCUGCAUUGCUGCAGGGCAGCACAGUGCAGUUAGACAGCACCUGGAGUCCUCUUGACAAAUUCGAUUGAUUGCAGCAGAAAUGAGAAGGAAAGCUGUAAACAAGCUGCCAUUGAUUGCUGGAGUGGCAUUGGCUUCACAGGGAACUUGAAGUAACAUCAGGUUUGGGAACUGCAGCCACACGAAAUAACAAAGAACAACGGAUGUCUGCAUUUCUGAAGGGUUUGGAUUGAACUUUUACAAGCAUUGGAUUGUGCAUCAGCCGUUGCAGAAGCACCAUUCCUCAUUUUCUGUGGAGAAAGAAACAGCAGCAUUUCAUGUUCACCUGGAUGUCACACCUGGAGCUGGGAUGCCCCAGUGCUACCAUCUCACAGUGCUCUGCCAAUGGGACUGCGGGCAGUGCAUGCUGCCAGCAGCUGCUCACAUUGCACGGAAGGAACCUUUGCACCUCAUGGGAGCACGGACAGGAGUGUGUCCCACUGUGUCCCUGCCUCCUGCCCAGCUGGGUCAGUGGUGCUUUGAAGCUGGUCCGUGUAUUGGUGGUAGCUGGGCUGCUCUCCUUGUGCUGCUGAAGACUGAUCCAGGCUCAUGUCCCUGCUCAUUGCAGGGGAGCUGGACUGGAUGGCUUUUAAAGGUUCUUUCCAACUCCAAGGAUUCCAUGAUUCUCUGAUUGAGUACUUGAUACAACACUGCUUCCCUGGGGUAAAGUUAAACUCAUUUGUUCCAACUUUCUCAUUAGCUUACAAAAGCACUUUUCUCUCAUUCAUUCACACCUAAAUAUUGCACUGCUGUCUUUACAGCUGCAGGAAUGCCCAUUGCCUCUCUGACCAUUGUCCCUGCUGACAGUGCCUGUGCCCCAUCUCCCCAGACACGGUCACGCUCUACCCCCUGGUGAAACAGAAGGGCACCCACCUCUGUGUGUGUGAGGGAGAGGGCUGUGACAAAUUUCAUUUGGAUGUGAUUCAAUGAAUAAAGUACGAGGCGAUGUGCCCAGAGUGACUCAUCUGUGUGCAUAGCUGCUGGCUCCAUGGGUCUGAUGGCCGAGGGCUUUCUUGGUGAGAUGAAGUGUGAAUGCCUCCUUAGGCACGAGGCAGUAACUGCCAUGCCCAGGGUGAGGAAGCCCACUUCUGCACAGCUGCUCAUGGGCCACAGCUGGACAGCUGUGUUGUUAAAGACACAGGAAGUCUUUUUCACUGUUCCUUUAGGCAUGGGAACAGGCCACAAGCUGUCCCAGUUUCCCAUUGAAGGAAGAGCUGAGGUUUGGUGUGUGCCCAGUGGUGCCCGGUGGGAGCAGAGCUACACCAUUGGGCUGAGCCGCUUUGGGGAAUGGUGUUUAUUUUUCAUUUGGAGGGAUUUUUCCAUGUCUUCUACCCCAUGAUUAAAAGCACAGCCAGUUGCACAUCUGGUUUGCAAGGUCAGAUGCAGAACCAUCAAAAUAUUACAAGAAAGACUAUUGCAAGGUUUUAAAUUUUCCCCUGCCAAAGCUGAUAUUGGAAGGAAUACUUCAUGAAAGCCCCCUCGUGUGACAUUUCUAGCUAGAAUCAGAGAUCAAAGACCUAUUCCAUUUUCAGACUCAGGUCUUGCAUUAAAAUGUUAACCUUUUUUUUAAUGUUUCACCAUUGUAUUUGAAAUCUGGUAUAGGAGUUCAGCCGGCACAGAACAUUUCUUAGUAAGAUAUUGUAGGAAAUGAUUGAUUUUUUUCUGCAGAGAAGUUCAGCUUGUAUUAGUGAGCUGCUGGGUCAUUUGGCAAAGAAAGUUCUGGGAAAAUGACAGGUCAGAAGAACUGAUGAAGCCUGGAAAGGCACGAAGCGCAGCAGCUCCUGUUCACGGGCAACUGGAAGUGAGAAGAAUUUCUUGUAUGCCUCACUGUUAUUAAAAUAUCAAGUAUCCUUAGCUGCCAAUUACAUAACCUCUGUGCUACAAGAGCAAAUUAUUUUAAUUAUAGGAUUGUUGCAUGCUAAGAGAUCAUUUCUUUGGAAAAUAAAAUCAGCUGAAAUUCAGGCAUUACAGAGAACAAGUCAAUUACUUUGAGCUAGAGACUGUAGUGAGGGAGGUGGGAGGCUUGGAGAAGUUUCCCCAGGUCUGGCAAGAAGCAGCAUAUUCAAGUUAAAUACAGGUUAGGCUGCAUCACUGCUAGCUUCAUAUGAUUAUAUUGUGUUAUUGAGAGAAACGGGUUGGUAGAGGUUGUAGAACAGAAGAGGUGAGCACGGAAAGGAACGGAGCAUUUCUCCCACUGGAACAGGAGCAGGAGAGCCGUGUGCCCUGGAAUGGGCGCCGGGGGCACGGUACUUCACCCAGGGCCAGCGGCUGCAUUGGGCACAGCUGGGGUCUUUGUGCCAUGCAUGGGGACUGGAGCUGCUUCCUCAGCCUGCUGCCAACCUGCAGCCUCACUGCAGCUUCCAGCAGUGGCACCAGGGAAGCAGCCUUGGGGGAGCUCUCAUGGGACCGCUCUGGCACCAGGGCAGAUGGCAAAGGCCAGCACUGCCACCAUGGGGACACAUCCAGUGCCAGCACCACUGCUCAGCACUGGGGAACUGCAGGAGGUGUUGAGUCCUAUGGAAUCCACGCUGGGAGUUCUACAGGUUUCUUAGUAUGCCCUUUCACAAGAUAAGACGUCCUUGGCAGAAAAUGACGUCUUUUCUAAUCUGCCUUCUUUUCUACGCAGAAGAAACAAUAACUGUAUGGAAACGUUCCCCCAAUCUGCUGAAUGAAGCUGAAAGAGUUUUGCAGAUCCACUGAAAUCUUCCUUUCUCCUUUUAGGAGAUAAAGUGCAGUUUUAAGUAGAGGAGAGCAGUAAGGUAACAUCUGCUGGACAAGCACUUGUAUUUCAAAAGACGCGCAAGACACUAAGGUCUCCAAUGAGCCUUUGUCUUGCUUUUAUUGAGUGCCUUGUCAUUCUGGAAAACACUUUAGAGCUUGUUACAGCUGAGGAUGGCUGCAAAAUCUGGUACCAUAACGACCCGCAGUGACAUACCCGUUUCUAUGUGUCUGUUCAGAUCACAGACCAGGGAUGCGCAAAACAGAUGUACUGAGGUGUCAAGGAACUGUUACUAAUUUGCAAUUACAUUUGACUUCCUUAGACAGCUCUCUUCAGAGAAAGUUUCAUGUGGAGCUUUGUAUUUAAUGAGUUAUCUUUCUAGGUUUCUAAUUUUCAAAUAUUGACCAACCAUUGUUACACCAAUAUAUUCUACUUACAAACGAAAAAGUUCUGUGACUCAUCAGCAGGAGAUGGAUGGUGGGAACUGUGCUGCAGCCCCUCUCUUGGGCAACUCCAUCACUAUGCGACUCCAGCAAAACUGGGGCUUUGUCUGCACAGUGCUGUGGCUGCAAAGGGCACAGGGCAGCCCCAUGCUUCCCCAUGGCUCCUAGGCAGCUCCACACUGUCACUGUGGGCUGAGGUCCUUCCUGCUGCAUCAGUGCAAGGCUGUUGGGGAGCACCAGCUGUGCUCUUCUGGGAAUGCUGCCGGCUGCUGGCUGUCUUCUGCAGUCUGGACAAGUGCUUGAGAUCUCCACAGACAAUUUGAAAUUGAGGCACUGCAAAGCAUGGCAAAGCUCCAGAAAGAGCCACUGACAUGGCUGCUCCCAGGGACAUGUUCAUGGAGUGUGUGUGGAAUUUGGGUCUGAAUGUGUGUAUGCUUGUAUAUAAACGUGCAUGCAUGUAUACCUGCGUACACAUGUGCAUAU